This 321-nucleotide unclassified non-coding RNA is filed under the name uncultured fungus. Its description in RNAcentral is "partial contains small subunit ribosomal RNA, internal transcribed spacer 1, and 5.8S ribosomal RNA". The stretch from base 1 to 73 matches the Rfam family "Eukaryotic small subunit ribosomal RNA", at positions 1759 to 1831 of the family's 1831-position model. The record is from RNAcentral. Lineage: Eukaryota; Fungi.
ACAAACUUGGUCAUUUAGAGGAAGUAAAAGUCGUAACAAGGUUUCCGUAGGUGAACCUGCGGAAGGAUCAUUACAAGAGGUUUUCAAAUUGUCCGUGGUCCCCCCCCCCCAAACGGGGGACCCGGGCAAUCAACCAUCGAUCUCUCACCUUGUGCACCUAUUUUUUUUUUGAACUACAUAAUGGUAAAUAACUGUUAUGUAGUUCUAAACACCUUUCCUAAAGCCUUAUCGUCUGUCUGAUGAAAAAAAAAAACUUUAUAAAAUUUUAAUACAACUUUCAACAACGGAUCUCUUGGCUCUCGCAUCGAUGAAGAACGCAGC